AUACGUAGGUGACAAGCGUUAUCCGGAUUUACUGGGCGUAAAGGGCGUGUAGGCGGUCUCGCAAGUCAGAAGUGAAAUUCCUGAGCUCAACUCGGGCGCUGCUUCUGAAACUGCAGGACUUGAGUGCUGGAGGGGAUAGCGGAAUUCCUAGUGGAGCGGUAAAAUGCGCAGAUAUUAGGAAGAACACCGGUGGCGAAGGCGGCUAUCUGGACAGUAACUGACGCUGAGGCGCGAAAGCGUGGGGAGCAAACAGGAUUAGAUACCCUGGUAGUCCACGCCGUAAACGGUGAAUACUAGGUGUAGGGGGUAUCGACUCCCUCUGUGCCGCAGUUAACACAAUAAGUAUUCCGCCUGGGGAGUACGGCCGCAAGGUUGAAACUCAAAUGAAUUGACGGGG
RNAcentral lists this ribosomal RNA (397 nucleotides) under uncultured bacterium. RNAcentral describes it as "partial 16S ribosomal RNA". It matches the Rfam family "Bacterial small subunit ribosomal RNA", at positions 523 to 918 of the family's 1533-position model. The record is from RNAcentral.